Molecule: small RNA, 27 nt
Filed under: Bombyx mori (domestic silkworm)
Lineage: Eukaryota; Metazoa; Arthropoda; Insecta; Lepidoptera; Bombycidae
Description: ovarian small RNA-8849
Source: RNAcentral
UGGUGGCAUGUUGAAUUGACGAACUUG